UCCUCCCUCUGGCGGCGUGCUUAACACAUGCAAGUCGAACGGAAAGGCCCUGCUUUUGUGGGGUGCUCGAGUGGCGAACGGGUGAGUAACACGUGAGUAACCUGCCCUUGACUUUGGGAUAACUUCAGGAAACUGGGGCUAAUACCGGAUAGGAGCUCCUGCUGCAUGGUGGGGGUUGGAAAGUUUCGGCAGUUGGGGAUGGACUCGCGGCUUAUCAGCUUGUUGGUGGGGUAGUGGCUUACCAAGGCUUUGACGGGUAGCCGGCCUGAGAGGGUGACCGGCCACAUUGGGACUGAGAUACGGCCCAGACUCCUACGGGAGGCAGCAGUGGGGAAUAUUGCACAAUGGGCGGAAGCCUGAUGCAGCAACGCCGCGUGCGGGAUGACGGCCUUCGGGUUGUAAACCGCUUUCGCCUGUGACGAAGCGUGAGUGACGGUAAUGGGUAAAGAAGCACCGGCUAACUACGUG
RNAcentral lists this ribosomal RNA (468 nucleotides) under uncultured bacterium. RNAcentral's name for it is "partial 16S ribosomal RNA". It matches the Rfam family "Bacterial small subunit ribosomal RNA", at positions 36 to 507 of the family's 1533-position model. The record is from RNAcentral.